RNAcentral lists this transfer RNA (73 nucleotides) under Fibrobacter sp. UWOV1. Its description in RNAcentral is "tRNA_Met_CAT". It matches the Rfam family "tRNA". From Rfam's summary of the family: Transfer RNA (tRNA) molecules are approximately 80 nucleotides in length. Their secondary structure includes four short double-helical elements and three loops (D, anti-codon, and T loops). Lineage: Bacteria; Pseudomonadati; Fibrobacterota; Fibrobacteria; Fibrobacterales; Fibrobacteraceae. The record is from RNAcentral.
CGGCAUGUAGCUCAAUGGUCAGAGCGAGGGACUCAUAACCCCGAGGUUGACGGUUCAAGUCCGUCCGUGCCGA